GAACCUACGGGAGGCAGCAGUGGGGGAUAUUGCACAAUGGGGGGAACCCUGAUGCAGCUACUCCGCGUGUGUGAAGAAGCGCCUCGGCGCGUAAAGCCCUGUCAGCAGGGAAGAAAAUGACGGUACCUGAAGAAGAAGCCCCGGCUAACUACGUGCCAGCAGCCGCGGUAAUACGUAGGGGGCAAGCGUUAUCCGGAUUUACUGGGUGUAAAGGGGGCGCAGGCGGCGAUGCAAGCCAGGAGGGAAAGCCCGGGGCCCAACCCCGGGA
RNAcentral lists this ribosomal RNA (268 nucleotides) under uncultured bacterium. RNAcentral's name for it is "partial 16S ribosomal RNA". It matches the Rfam family "Bacterial small subunit ribosomal RNA", at positions 333 to 620 of the family's 1533-position model. The record is from RNAcentral.